GAUGAACGCUGGCGGCGUGCCUAAUACAUGCAAGUCGAGCGAACGGACGAGAAGCUUGCUUCUCUGAUGUUAGCGGCGGACGGGUGAGUAACACGUGGAUAACCUACCUAUAAGACUGGGAUAACUUCGGGAAACCGGAGCUAAUACCGGAUAAUAUUUUGAACCGCAUGGUUCAAAAGUGAAAGACGGUCUUGCUGUCACUUAUAGAUGGAUCCGCGCUGCAUUAGCUAGUUGGUAAGGUAACGGCUUACCAAGGCAACGAUGCAUAGCCUACCUGAGAGGGUGAUCGGCCACACUGGAACUGAGACACGGUCCAGACUCCUACGGGGGGCAGCAGUAGGGAAUCUUCCGCAAUGGGCGAAAGCCUGACGGAGCAACGCCGCGUGAGUGAUGAAGGUCUUCGGAUCGUAAAACUCUGUUAUUAGGGAAGAACAUAUGUGUAAGUAACUGUGCACAUCUUGACGGUACCUAAUCAGAAAGCCACGGCUAACUACGUG
Molecule: ribosomal RNA, 497 nt
Filed under: uncultured bacterium
Lineage: Bacteria
Description: partial 16S ribosomal RNA
Rfam family: Bacterial small subunit ribosomal RNA
Source: RNAcentral